UCCUGAUUCUUGACUAAAGGAGACAUUGAUAUAUGACAACAUUUUUUAUUAGUAAAAGCAGGAACAACCUGCUGUAAGAGGGAAUUGGGCUGCUGGGUUGGAAAUUGCUUCUGAUUGAUGCCCGCUAUAUGAGAAGCGUUAAGAAGGUUGCCCUACUGCUGCUGUACUUGUUGCAAUCUUUGCAAGUACUUCUCCCUUUGGUC
This 203-nucleotide long non-coding RNA is filed under the name Hordeum vulgare. RNAcentral's name for it is "long non-coding RNA (HVUL_LNC003661)". Lineage: Eukaryota; Viridiplantae; Streptophyta; Magnoliopsida; Poales; Poaceae. The record is from RNAcentral.